CACGUAGGAGGCAAACGUUAUCCGGAUUUACUGGGCGUAAAGCGCGUGUAGGUGGUUCUGUAAGUAGGGCGUGAAAGCUCCCGGCUCAACUGGGAGAGGCCGUUCUAAACUGCAGAGCUAGAGGAUGGUAGAGGGAGGUGGAAUUCCAGGUGUAGCUGUGGAAUGCGCAGAUAUCUGGAGGAACACCAGUGGCGAAGGCGGCCUCCUGGACCAUUCCUGACACUCAGACGCGAAAGCUAGGGUAGCAAACGGGAUUAGAUACCCGGGUAGUCCCU
Molecule: ribosomal RNA, 275 nt
Filed under: uncultured prokaryote
Description: partial 16S ribosomal RNA
Rfam family: Bacterial small subunit ribosomal RNA
Source: RNAcentral